CAUUACAGAGUGUAAAAACUCCCAUUAAACCCAAUGUUUAUCUAUUUUUUAACGGUUUCCUUUGGUAGGCAAUCCCAGGGCGGGAUUGAUUGCUGUUUUACAGCGCCUACCAAAGAUACCUAAAACUCUUGAAUUUUUAAAACUCUGAGAAUAAAACAAAUAAUUAAAACUUUCAACAACGGAUCUCUUGGUUCUGGCAUCGAUGAAGAACGCAGCGAAAUGCGAUAAGUAAUGUGAAUUGCAGAAUUCAGUGAAUCAUCGAAUCUUUGAACGCACAUUGCGCCUGCUAGCAUUCUGGCAGGCAUGCCUGUUCGAGCGUCAUUUCAACCCUCAAGCUUUUGCUUGGUGUUGAGGUUCUAUAAUUAUAGGCCUCUAAAUCUAUUGGCAGAACGUCAUAAACUCUCAAUUGUAGUAAAUUUUAUUUCUAUUGAAGAAUUUGGACUGCUCUAGCCGUAAAACACAGCGUGCUCUUUUGAGCCCUAUUUUUACAAGGUUGACCUCGGAUCAGGUAGGAAUACCCGCUGAACUUAAGCAUAUCAAUAAGCGGAGGAAAAGAAACCAACAGGGAUUGCCCUAGUAACGGCGAGUGAAGCGGCAACAGCUCAGAUUUGAAAUCUAGCCCUUUA
This 626-nucleotide ribosomal RNA is filed under the name fungal sp. Its description in RNAcentral is "eukaryotic LSU rRNA". The stretch from base 168 to 321 matches the Rfam family "5.8S ribosomal RNA". Lineage: Eukaryota; Fungi. The record is from RNAcentral.